AUGGAAGCCGGGUGUACCUAAAGUCGGUAACCGCAAGGAGCCGCCUAGGGUAAACUGGUGACUGGGGCU
RNAcentral lists this ribosomal RNA (69 nucleotides) under uncultured bacterium. RNAcentral describes it as "partial 16S ribosomal RNA". The record is from RNAcentral.